AAGGAGAGGUUGGAAUAGUACAUGGACAGGCUGGGGGUUGCCAAGGAGAGGUUGGAAUAAUACAUGGACAGGCUGGGGGUUGCCGAGGAGAGGUUGGAAUAAUACAUGGACAGGCUGGGGGUUGCCAAGGAGAGGUUGGAAUAAUACAUGGACAGGCUGGGGGUUGCUGAGGAGAGGUUGGAAUAAUACAUGGACAGGCUGGGGGUUGCCAAGGAGAGGUUGGAAUAAUACAUGGACAGGCUGGGGGUUGCCGAGGAGAGGUUGGAAUAGUACAUGGACAGGCUGGGGGUUGCCGAGGAGAGGUUGGAAUAGUACAUGGACAGGCUGGGGGUUGCCAAGGAGAGGUUGGAAUAGUACAUGGACAGGCUGGGGGUUGCCAAGGAGAGGUUGUAAUAAUACAUGGACAGGCUGGGGUUGCCGAGGAGAGGUUGUAAUAGUACAUGGACAGGCUGGGGGUUGCCGAGGAGAGGUUGUAAUAGUACAUGGACAGGCUGGGGGUUGCCGAGGAGAGGUUGUAAUAGUACAUGGACAGGUUGCCGAGGAGAGGUUGUAAUAGUACAUGGACAGGCUGGGGGUUGCCGAGGAGAGGUUGUAAUAGUACAUGGACAGGCUGGGGGUUGCCGAGGAGAGGUUGUAAUAGUACAUGGACAGGUUGCCGAGGAGAGGUUGUAAUAGUACAUGGACAGGUUGCCGAGGAGAGGUUGUAAUAAUACAUGGACAGGCUGGGGGUUGCCGAGGAGAGGUUGUAAUAGUACAUGGACAGGCUGGGGGUUGCCGAGGAGAGGUUGUAAUAGUACAUGGACAGUCUGGGGGUUGCCGAGGAGAGGUUGUAAUAGUACAUGGACAGGCUGGGGGUUGCCGAGGAGAGGUUGUAAUAGUACAUGGACAGGCUGGGGGUUGCCGAGGAGAGGUUGUAAUAGUACAUGGACAGG
This is a non-coding RNA of Salmo salar (Atlantic salmon), 932 nucleotides long. Lineage: Eukaryota; Metazoa; Chordata; Actinopteri; Salmoniformes; Salmonidae. The record is from RefSeq and is a predicted model, not a curated record.